This 1559-nucleotide ribosomal RNA is filed under the name Peribacillus frigoritolerans. Its description in RNAcentral is "[Brevibacterium] frigoritolerans partial 23S ribosomal RNA". It matches the Rfam family "Bacterial large subunit ribosomal RNA", at positions 1 to 1553 of the family's 2925-position model. The record is from RNAcentral. Lineage: Bacteria; Bacillati; Bacillota; Bacilli; Caryophanales; Bacillaceae.
UUAGGUUAAGUUAUGAAGGGCGCACGGUGGAUGCCUUGGCACUAGGAGCCGAUGAAGGACGGGACUAACACCGAUAUGCUUUGGGGAGCUGUAAGUAAGCUUUGAUCCAGAGAUUUCCGAAUGGGGAAACCCACUGUUCGUAAUGGAACAGUAUCUUUAUCUGAAUACAUAGGAUAUUGAAGGCAGACCCGGGGAACUGAAACAUCUAAGUACCCGGAGGAAGAGAAAGCAAACGCGAUUUCCCAAGUAGCGGCGAGCGAAACGGAAUUAGCCCAAACCAAGAGGCUUGCCUCUUGGGGUUGUAGGACACUCUAUACGGAGUUACAAAGGAACGGGGUAGAUGAAGCGACCUGGAAAGGUCCGUCAGAGAAGGUAAAAACCCUGUAGUCGAAACUUCGUUCCCUCCAGAGUGGAUCCUGAGUACGGCGGGACACGAGAAAUCCCGUCGGAAGCAGGGAGGACCAUCUCCCAAGGCUAAAUACUCCCUAGUGACCGAUAGUGAACCAGUACCGUGAGGGAAAGGUGAAAAGCACCCCGGAAGGGGAGUGAAAAGAUCCUGAAACCGUGUGCUUACAAGUAGUCAGAGCCCGUUAAUGGGUGAUGGCGUGCCUUUUGUAGAAUGAACCGGCGAGUUACGAUCCCGUGCAAGGUUAAGUUGAUGAGACGGAGCCGCAGCGAAAGCGAGUCUGAAUAGGGCGUUUUAGUACGUGGUCGUAGACCCGAAACCAGGUGAUCUACCCAUGUCCAGGGUGAAGUUCAGGUAACACUGAAUGGAGGCCCGAACCCACGCACGUUGAAAAGUGCGGGGAUGAGGUGUGGGUAGCGGAGAAAUUCCAAUCGAACCUGGAGAUAGCUGGUUCUCUCCGAAAUAGCUUUAGGGCUAGCCUCAAGUAUGAGAGUCUUGGAGGUAGAGCACUGAUUGGACUAGGGGCCCUCAUCGGGUUACCGAAUUCAGUCAAACUCCGAAUGCCAAAGACUUGCUCCUUGGGAGUCAGACUGCGAGUGAUAAGAUCCGUAGUCAAGAGGGAAACAGCCCAGACCACCAGCUAAGGUCCCAAAGUAUACGUUAAGUGGAAAAGGAUGUGGAGUUGCUUAGACAACCAGGAUGUUGGCUUAGAAGCAGCCACCAUUUAAAGAGUGCGUAAUAGCUCACUGGUCGAGUGACUCUGCGCCGAAAAUGUACCGGGGCUAAACGUAUCACCGAAGCUGUGGACUGUUCUUACGAACAGUGGUAGGAGAGCGUUCUAAGGGCGUUGAAGCUAGACCGUAAGGACUGGUGGAGCGCUUAGAAGUGAGAAUGCCGGUAUGAGUAGCGAAAGAGGGGUGAGAAUCCCCUCCACCGAAUGCCUAAGGUUUCCUGAGGAAGGCUCGUCCGCUCAGGGUUAGUCGGGACCUAAGCCGAGGCCGAAAGGCGUAGGCGAUGGACAACAGGUUGAUAUUCCUGUACCACCUCCUCACCAUUUGAGCAAUGGGGGGACGCAGGAGGAUAGGGCAAGCGCGCUGUUGGAUAUGCGCGUCCAAGCAGUUAGGCUGAGAAGUAGGCAAAUCCGCUUCUCAUA